RNAcentral lists this long non-coding RNA (1003 nucleotides) under Monodelphis domestica (gray short-tailed opossum). RNAcentral's name for it is "lncRNA (ENSMODG00000031841.2)". The record is from RNAcentral. Lineage: Eukaryota; Metazoa; Chordata; Mammalia; Didelphimorphia; Didelphidae.
AUGGCUUUGUAUGAGACCACAUGUGGAAAGAAGGCCAAUAGCACUACCUCUUGCCUUACCCAUCUAGUCAAUUGGAUUACUGACUACAGUGAAGGAAGGGAAGGUAUGGAAGUGAAUGCCUAUCCUAAGAGAAGAUACCUCAAAGCUAUCCAAGGUCCCACAACAACUAGAGGCAGCAGUAGAUGGAGACGUCCAGGAAGGAGACCAUGUAGAAGACCUGGCAGAUGGAGUUCAGCAAGAUGCCAGCCCAGCUGAACGAGGGAACCACUCAUUCAUCAACUAUACCACACUCAGAAGGGAAUAUGGUGGUGAUUCCAAGAAGGGAUGAGAAGUAUCCCAAGAAGGGGCUAGGAAGUAUCUCCCCAUGGAGUGGGAAGAGAGGGAAGUUUUGUAACCACAUCAAAUUUCAAUCCAUUCUCCUUAGGAACUAAGUGAAGUAGAAAGUGCAUCUUCUUGCUGAGGGGUGGAGCGUUGUUAGCCAAUGUUGGGGAGAUGCUAAUUAGCUAAAUGAUACUGGAAAAUACAUGUAGAAGCAUCCAGGUGGUGCAAUAAUUUUAGAGUCCAGGACUUAGAGUUAGGAUGUCCUGAGUGAAAUCUAUCCUUAAACCCUUACUAACUGUGUGACUCUGGAUGAAUCAUUUAAACACUGUCUGCCUUAGUUUCCUCAUCUUAGUGCCUCACUAUUCCUUUAAAAAGGUACUAUUUCCUGCUUUCCUGGGGCUUCAAAAGAAGCUUUCCAAAGCCUGAUUCCCUGGAUCAGCAAGAGGGGAGGGUUCAUCAACUGGCUAACCUUUUCCAUGACCUGCCAAUGGGCAUCGUAGAUAGUUCAUGGGUUAAAAACCACAUAGGAGAUGGUCCAGUUCCUUUAACUGAAGAUAAAGAUGAUUAUAAAAUAAGGUGUUAAUAGCCAGUGAUGGCUGGAUGUCCAGUCUGGGGUCUUGCUGUAUGAGUAAGCAACUGUAUAAGUAAGCAAUUGGCUGCCUGGGUAAAUGAGAGAGAGUCU